CCUACGGGAGGCAGCAGUGAGGAAUAUUGGUCAAUGGGCGGGAGCCUGAACCAGCCAAGCCGCGUGAGGGAAGAAGGUACAGCGUAUCGUAAACCUCUUUUGUCAGGGAACAAAGGCGGGGACUAGUCCCCGGAUGAGGGUACCUGAAGAAAAAGCAUCGGCAAACUCGGUGCCAGCAGCCGCGGUAAUAGGGAGGAUGCGAGCGUUAUCCGGAUUUAGUGGGUUUAAAGGGAGCGCAGGCGGCCUGUUAAGACAGGGGGAAAAGCACGGGGCUUAACCCCGGGGAGCCGUUGAAACUGGGGGGCUGGAGUUGGGGAGAGGUACGCGGAAUGCGCGGUGUAGCGGUGAAAUGCUUAGAUAUCGCGCAGAACCCCGAUUGCGAAGGCAGCGUACCGGCUCCACACUGACGCUGAGGCACGAAAGCGUGGGUAUCGAACAGGAUUAGAUACCCCAGUAGUC
Molecule: ribosomal RNA, 459 nt
Filed under: uncultured bacterium
Lineage: Bacteria
Description: partial 16S ribosomal RNA
Rfam family: Bacterial small subunit ribosomal RNA
Source: RNAcentral